GACGAACCGUGCGAACGUUGUUCGGAUUCACUGGGCUUAAAGGGCGCGUAGGCGGGCCAUCAAGUCGGGGGUGAAAUCUUUCAGCUUAACUGGAAAAUAGCCUUCGAUACUGGUGGUCUGGAGGAAGGUAGGGGCAUGCGGAACUUCCGGUGGAGCGGUGAAAUGCGUAGAUAUCGGGAGGAACGCCAGUGGCGAAAGCGGCGUGCUGGACCUUUUCUGACGCUGAGGCGCGAAAGCCAGGGGAGCAAACGGG
Molecule: ribosomal RNA, 253 nt
Filed under: uncultured bacterium
Lineage: Bacteria
Description: partial 16S ribosomal RNA
Rfam family: Bacterial small subunit ribosomal RNA
Source: RNAcentral